CACAGACUCUCUGGAGCCUCCCAUGUAAAUCCUGGCAGGACCCAGCCAGCACUUAGCUCAUUCACGUGAGAUCACCGUCUUGUUCGGGGCACUUGCACGGGUAGGUCCCUCCUGCAGCAGCAUCGUGACGAUGUGGCCAUGCGCACGUGGCCAGCCUCUUCCAGCCGGCUAGCGGAAACCCACCGGCUCCAACCCAGGGGACGGCAGGUCCGACCCUGGGGACAGCAACGCUUGUAUUUACUGCCCCGGCCAAGGCUGUGGCAAGUGGGAGAGCAACGCUGGGAGCAGCGGAGGUGCGAUGCCCCGGGCUCCUCUGCCGGCAGCCGCGUGCCCCGGCACGACGCCGGGGUGGUGCGAAGCACGGCCUCCAGGCUCCCUGCAGUUUCCCCUUGGGUCAUUAAGGAAGAUGUUAAUGAAUGACCUCCGCAGUACCCCAUUAGAUACUCCACCUCCUGCCUCCUCCUCCAGCAAGCUCUGCACGAGUGGGGUGAUGCCAGCCGCCUGCCAGGGAUGCAGCUUUCGGCAUCGCUGCCCUCUCCGCCUCGGCAGCCCGCCAGCUCCGCUCCUCUGCUCUGCCCCUCGUCCAGGGCACGGCCGAAGAAAUGAAUUUGCUCCCGACGUGAGGUCCUGAUGAAAGAGAGCAAGUCCAUUGAAGAUGCUUAAGCAUUAAGCCUGUGCUCAAGUUCCAUUAAAGUGCCUGAUUAAAGCGGUGAAUGGCUGGACUCGGACAAUGCUAAGUGCUUUCCUGAAUCAGGUUCCCUGACUUCCCAGUGCCUGUGGCUGCACACCCAGCUCCUGCUUUCUGCCUCUCUUCUUCCCUGCAGCCCCUGGCCGGACCCUUCUUCAGCUGCCUUCUACAUUUUCUCUUUCUUGCAGGGAUUCUUUUUUUGGUUUUUUCCUCUUUUUUUUUUUUCUUUUUAACCCUCAAAUCCAUGAGUGGCCACUUCUGAAGUGAUAAAAAUCUUAUUCCUUGCCUAUUUUUUUUUUUUUUCCCAGGCAAUUGUAGCUAACAACACCUUAAUUAUCGCGUCUCUGAAAACUGGUUAAAGAUUUUAAUACUUCCUUCCCCGGACCAUUAUGCAGUAGACUUCUCAGCCCCAUAAAAUGUGCCUUCUGGAACCCGAUCGCCUCGUGCUGCUGCAUUUCCCUGCUCGGUCCUUGCCCUGACGGUUCAAGUGCCUCCAGGUCCCCCCUUGCCACUCCCCCCCGCUCCUCCCCGGCACCCCGGGCAGGUGGGAAGCGCCAGAGGCGAUGGCAGGGCUGCAGGCAGCUGUAGCAGAUUUUCAGUUAGAAUAUGGGCUUUUAAUUUAAAUCAUAUUACACAGCUAGCGAAGAUGUUGCAUCAUUUUAAUCAGCCAGCACAUCUGCAGAAGGUGCAAGUUUCCAGGAGCCGGAGCGCAAGAAUGAUGGUAUAAAUCACGGCGAAGGCAAAUCCUUGACAUCACCUUCAUUUCUGAAUUUGAUCCUCUGAUUUAGCAGCGCGGCGCUGGCUUUCUGGCACCCGUUUUGCCUAGCUGUUUGCUAUUUAAUAGGUACAAGGCUUGUCAGACAUCUCCACGCAUCCUAUGUCCUGGCGUUUCAAAAAUCCCUGGGCUGGUUUUUUUGGGGUUUUUUUUGAAAGAGGGUUGGAUUAAUCAUGAAUUUUGGCCCCAACCUGCGCGGGGCCGUCUCCCUGGAAAGGCUCCGCUCAGGGAGAGGGGCUGCACCUCUCUCCAAAGCCGUUUGGGAUCCACGUGCUGCGGGAGUUCAGCCUGGUGAGAUCUCAUCCGCUUCAUCCCACAAAACAGUUAGGGGAAAAAUCUACCAGGUCCCACGGUGCCCAUGCCUUUGGGACGAGUGAAGUUGAUUCCCCACCGAUUUUUAUUUAGGUGAGUUUUAAAUAACUCAAACGCUUCCCCGGGGGAACCAUCCCGCGGCCGAACGGAUUUCAGCACUAAGCAGUUUUUCCUGGUGUUCAGCCUAAAUUUUCUUUUGCUCUGUUUUAUCCCGUUACUCUUUUGCUAUAAAAUUUCUCGGGUAUUUUAAAU
This is a long non-coding RNA of Grus americana (Whooping crane), 2027 nucleotides long. RefSeq lists it as uncharacterized. NCBI's taxonomy places the organism in Eukaryota, Metazoa, Chordata, Aves, Gruiformes, Gruidae. The transcript is spliced from 5 exons. The record is from RefSeq and is a predicted model, not a curated record.